This 497-nucleotide ribosomal RNA is filed under the name uncultured bacterium. RNAcentral's name for it is "partial 16S ribosomal RNA". It matches the Rfam family "Bacterial small subunit ribosomal RNA", at positions 28 to 507 of the family's 1533-position model. The record is from RNAcentral.
GAUGAACGCUGGCGGCGUGCCUAAUACAUGCAAGUCGAGCGAACAGACGAGGAGCUUGCUCCUCUGACGUUAGCGGCGGACGGGUGAGUAACACGUGGAUAACCUACCUAUAAGACUGGGAUAACUUCGGGAAACCGGAGCUAAUACCGGAUAAUAUAUUGAACCGCAUGGUUCAAUAGUGAAAGACGGUUUUGCUGUCACUUAUAGAUGGAUCCGCGCCGGAUUAGCUAGUUGGUAAGGUAACGGCUUACCAAGGCAACGAUGCGUAGCCGACCUGAGAGGAUGAUCGGCCACACUGGAACUGAGACACGGUCCAGACUCCUACGGGAGGCAGCAGUAGGGAAUCUUCCGCAAUGGGCGAAAGCCUGACGGAGCAACGCCGCGUGAGUGAUGAAGGUCUUCGGAUCGUAAAGCUCUUUUAUUAGGGAAGAACAAAUGUGUAAGUAACUAUGCACGUCUUGACGGUACCUAAUCAGAAAGCCACGGCUAACUACGUG